UAACGUGAUUAUUCCUGUUCAUGUCUCCGGACUAAUAGCUGGCAGGAAAGUUUAAAAUGUAAACGCGCCGUCUCCAAAUUUACCGUCGAAUGGGAUCUGGUCUGUUGAACACCAGGAUAUCAAUUACACACCGAGACAUUAACACAUUUAGCAAAGCUCGCCGUCCAGCCGUGGGGAGAAGUCUCUUCAUGUCGUACAGAAGCAUGUAAAUUGAAGCAAGAGCCAAUCGUUCAUGAACUUGGUUUAUACCGAUCUUCAGAGGAUGGCCCCUGGGCUGUUUAUCGAGUUGGUGAUUCGUCAAAAGGAGAGGAAGGGAGAAAAAAGAAGUGUACAAUUCUUGGAAGCUAUAAUCAUAUUAACCAGGCAACAAAACCAACGAGAAGGUCAACAUUACCAUCUUACACAGCACAGGGUUUAAAGGUCCAGGAAACAGAUGUUCGCCUGUAUCAGUGUUACACAAAUAAA
This is a long non-coding RNA of Rhincodon typus (whale shark), 465 nucleotides long. RefSeq lists it as uncharacterized. Lineage: Eukaryota; Metazoa; Chordata; Chondrichthyes; Orectolobiformes; Rhincodontidae. The record is from RefSeq and is a predicted model, not a curated record. The transcript has 3 exons.